UUCUCUCUCUCACUCCAUACGGUUGCUGAGUUAACUCUUCUCAUUUGAAAUUAACUCAUUUCUCUCUCUCCAAAACCAAACGAAGCCCUAAUAGAAGAAGAAAACUCUGCCGGACGGUGCCGCUCAUAUGCACACAAGGAUUGCAAAAUAACGGGCGACGGCUGAAAAUUAUUUUUCUGGGCAAUUGUGUAAUCUUUUGGUAAAGGCACUUCCUUCUACGUGAUUCAGAAUUUGCUGUUCUUAAAUGUGAUACCAUUCUUCCAAGCAGAAGUGAGGCAUACAAUGCAUUCAUUCGCCCAUACAAUGCAUUCAUUCGCCAACAACGAAAUCAAAGACAGAGGGAUUGGAGAAAUCGAGUCAAAGCUGGACGAAUUGAUUCUCGAAAAAGGGUAACUGACACAGUAUUAUCUGAAAAUACUAAUUUUAGUUCUGCCCAUGUAAAUAAAGCAGUAAUAUGCCAUGAUUUCGAGGCUUCUACUUCAAACCAAGAAACAACUGAUGUUUCUAAAUGUGUAAAACUUGUGAACAUACCAAAUACUGCAUAUGUAUAACUGAUAUGUACUUAUUGUAAAUAUGGCGGUGCACGAAAAUUUCAUAGAAAAAGUAAAGGUUUUUGUUGCUCAGAUGGAAAAGUUAAACUUUGUAUGUCCGAUUCACCAACUGAACUCUAUACUUUGUUUACUUCUAAAGAGUCCAGGUGUAUGGAAUUUAAGAAAAUUUUGAGAGGAUAUAAUAACCACUUUGCAUUCA
Molecule: long non-coding RNA, 750 nt
Organism: Olea europaea var. sylvestris
Lineage: Eukaryota; Viridiplantae; Streptophyta; Magnoliopsida; Lamiales; Oleaceae
Exons: 3
Source: RefSeq, a predicted model, not a curated record